GACGAACGCUGGCGGCGUGCUUAACACAUGCAAGUCGAACGGAAAGGCCCUGCUUUCGUGGGGUGCUGGGGUGGCGAGAGGGUGAGUAGGACGAGAGUCACCUGCCCUUGACUUUGGGAUAACUUCAGGAAGCUGGGGCAAAUACCGGAUAGGAGCUAAAGGUGCGUGGUGGGGGGUGGAUAGUGUCGGAGGCUGGGGAUGGGGGCGGGGCUUAUCAGGUUGCCGGUGGGGUAGUGGCUUGCGAGGGCGUUGACGGGUGGCCGGCCUGAGAGGGUGACCGGCCACGUUGGGACUGAGAUCCGGCCCAGGCUCCGACGGGGGGCAGCAGUGGGGAAUAUUGCACAUGGGGCGGAGGCCUGAUGCAGCAACGCCCCGUGCGGGAUUACUCCCUUCGGUUUGUAACCCGCUUUCGCCUGUGUCUAAGCGGGAGUUGCGGUAAUGGGUAAAGAAGCACCGGCUAACUACGUG
This 468-nucleotide ribosomal RNA is filed under the name uncultured bacterium. Its description in RNAcentral is "partial 16S ribosomal RNA". It matches the Rfam family "Bacterial small subunit ribosomal RNA", at positions 28 to 507 of the family's 1533-position model. The record is from RNAcentral.